RNAcentral lists this ribosomal RNA (264 nucleotides) under Enterobacter sp. EGD-HP1. RNAcentral's name for it is "partial 16S ribosomal RNA". It matches the Rfam family "Bacterial small subunit ribosomal RNA", at positions 1 to 261 of the family's 1533-position model. The record is from RNAcentral. Lineage: Bacteria; Pseudomonadati; Pseudomonadota; Gammaproteobacteria; Enterobacterales; Enterobacteriaceae.
UUAAAUUGAAGAGUUUGAUCAUGGCUCAGAUUGAACGCUGGCGGCAGGCCUAACACAUGCAAGUCGAGCGGUAACACAGGGAGCUUGCUCCUGGGUGACGAGCGGCGGACGGGUGAGUAAUGUCUGGGAAACUGCCUGAUGGAGGGGGAUAACUACUGGAAACGGUAGCUAAUACCGCAUAACGUCGCAAGACCAAAGAGGGGGACCUUCGGGCCUCUUGCCAUCAGAUGUGCCCAGAUGGGAUUAGCUAGUAGGUGGGGUAAU